Molecule: unclassified non-coding RNA, 812 nt
Filed under: uncultured Pluteus
Lineage: Eukaryota; Fungi; Basidiomycota; Agaricomycetes; Agaricales; Pluteaceae
Description: sequence contains ITS1, 5.8S rRNA gene and ITS2
Rfam family: 5.8S ribosomal RNA (bases 287-440)
Source: RNAcentral
AAGUCGUAACAAGGUUUCCGUAGGUGAACCUGCGGAAGGAUCAUUAGUGAAUAAACUAGUGUGGGUUGUUGCUGACCUCUUCGGAGGUAUGUGCACGCCUGCCGUUGUUUUCAUUCAUCCCUUCCACCUGUGCACUCUCUGUAGAACACAUCAUUACCUUCAGAUGUAUAUUCUGGCAUGAGGACUUGCUCUCGCUGUCCUUGGAUGAUGUGGUCUAUGUUUUUAUCAACUCAAUGCAUGUAAUUGAAUGUCUGCUCGGGUCUAUUGACCCAUAAAACAACUAUACAACUUUCAACAACGGAUCUCUUGGCUCUCGCAUCGAUGAAGAACGCAGCGAAAUGCGAUAAGUAAUGUGAAUUGCAGAAUUCAGUGAAUCAUCGAAUCUUUGAACGCACCUUGCGCUCCUUGGCAUUCCGAGGAGCAUGCCUGUUUGAGUGUCAUUAAAAUCCUCAACCCUCCUAUCUUACCUUGCGGAAAGUAGUGGGAUUGGAUGUGGAAGCUGCUGGCUCUGGGUCAGCUCUUCUGAAAUGCAUUAGCAGGGCCGCUGUAUGCACGACUGCAGCUUGGUAAUGAUAGAUGUCUUACCGGGUGGCAGGCGAGUGAUGUGCCCAGCUCACAGACGUCUCGCUGUUGGGACAAUCAACUUGACGAUCUGACCUCAAAUCAGGUAGGACUACCCGCUGAACUUAAGCAUAUCAAUAAGCGGAGGAAAAGAAACUAACAAGGAUUCCCCUAGUAACUGCGAGUGAAGCGGGAAGAGCUCAAAUUUAAAAUCUGGCAGUCUCUGGCUGUCCGAGUUGUAAACUAGAGAA